This 432-nucleotide ribosomal RNA is filed under the name uncultured bacterium. RNAcentral's name for it is "partial 16S ribosomal RNA". It matches the Rfam family "Bacterial small subunit ribosomal RNA", at positions 28 to 507 of the family's 1533-position model. The record is from RNAcentral.
GAUGAACGCUGGCGGUAUGCUUAACACAUGCCAGUCGAACGGUCACUUCGGUGAUAGUGGCGGACGGGUGAGUAACGCGUGAGAAUCUGUCUUCAGGUCGGGGACAACAGUUAGAAAUGACUGCUAAUACCGGAUGUGCCUUUGGGUGAAAGAUUUAUUGCCUGAAAAAGAGCUCGCGUCAGAUUAGCUAGUAGGUGGUGUAAGAGACUACCUAGGCUCCGAUCUGUAGCUGGUCUGAGAGGACGAUCAGCCACACUGGAACUGAGACACGGUCCAGACUCCUACGGGAGGCAGCAGUGGGGAAUUUUCCGCAAUGGGCGAAAGCCUGACGGAGCAAUACCGCGUGAGGGACGAAGGCUUUUGGGUCGUAAACCUCUUUUCUCAAGGAAGAUGAUGACGGUACUUGAGGAAUAAGCAGCGGCUAACUCUGUG